This 343-nucleotide ribosomal RNA is filed under the name uncultured soil bacterium. Its description in RNAcentral is "bacterial SSU rRNA". It matches the Rfam family "Bacterial small subunit ribosomal RNA", at positions 26 to 367 of the family's 1533-position model. The record is from RNAcentral.
AGAUUGAACGCUGGCGGCAUGCCUUACACAUGCAAGUCGAACGGCAGCACGGGGGCAACCCUGGUGGCGAGUGGCGAACAGGUGAGUAACAUAUCGGAACGUGCCCUGGGAGUGGGGGAUAACUAGUCGAAAGAUUAGCUAAUACCGCAUACGAUCUGCGGAUGAAAGGUGGGGGAUCGCAAGACCUCAUGCUCGUGGAGCGGCCGAUAUCUGAUUAGCUAGUUGGUGGGGUAAAGGCCUACCAAGGCAUCGAUCAGUAGCUGGUCUGAGAGGACGACCAGCCACACGUGGGACUGAGACACGGCCCAGACUCCGUACGGGAGCAGCGAGUGGGGAAUUUGGA